UACACUCCUGCGGGAGGCAGCAGUGGGGAAUAUUGGACAAUGGGCGCAAGCCUGAUCCAGCCAUGCCGCGUGAGUGAUGAAGGCCCUAGGGUUGUAAAGCUCUUUCACCGGUGAAGAUAAUGACGGUAACCGGAGAAGAAGCCCCGGCUAACUUCGUGCCAGCAGCCGCGGUAAUACGAAGGGGGCUAGCGUUGUUCGGAUUUACUGGGCGUAAAGCGCACGUAGGCGGACUAUUAAGUCAGGGGUGAAAUCCCGGGGCUCAACCCCGGAACUGCCUUUGAUACUGGUAGUCUUGAGUUCGAGAGAGGUGAGUGGAAUUCCGGGUGUAGUGGUGAAAUUCGUAGAUAUUCGGAGGAACACCAGUGGCGAAGGCGGCUCACUGGCUCGAUACUGACGCUGAGGUGCGAAAGCGUGGGGAGCAAACAGGAUUAGAAACCCCUGUAGUCCCA
Molecule: ribosomal RNA, 449 nt
Filed under: uncultured organism
Description: partial 16S ribosomal RNA
Rfam family: Bacterial small subunit ribosomal RNA
Source: RNAcentral